RNAcentral lists this ribosomal RNA (1098 nucleotides) under Massilia sp. Its description in RNAcentral is "bacterial SSU rRNA". It matches the Rfam family "Bacterial small subunit ribosomal RNA", at positions 358 to 1454 of the family's 1533-position model. Lineage: Bacteria; Pseudomonadati; Pseudomonadota; Betaproteobacteria; Burkholderiales; Oxalobacteraceae. The record is from RNAcentral.
GGAAUUUUGGACAAUGGGCGCAAGCCUGAUCCAGCAAUGCCGCGUGAGUGAAGAAGGCCUUCGGGUUGUAAAGCUCUUUUGUCAGGGAAGAAACGGUUCCGGCUAAUAUCUGGAGCUAAUGACGGUACCUGAAGAAUAAGCACCGGCUAACUACGUGCCAGCAGCCGCGGUAAUACGUAGGGUGCAAGCGUUAAUCGGAAUUACUGGGCGUAAAGCGUGCGCAGGCGGUUUUGUAAGUCUGUCGUGAAAGCCCCGGGCUCAACCUGGGAAUUGCGAUGGAGACUGCAAGGCUUGAAUCUGGCAGAGGGGGGUAGAAUUCCACGUGUAGCAGUGAAAUGCGUAGAGAUGUGGAGGAACACCGAUGGCGAAGGCAGCCCCCUGGGUCAAGAUUGACGCUCAUGCACGAAAGCGUGGGGAGCAAACAGGAUUAGAUACCCUGGUAGUCCACGCCCUAAACGAUGUCUACUAGUUGUCGGGUUUUAAUUAACUUGGUAACGCAGCUAACGCGUGAAGUAGACCGCCUGGGGAGUACGGUCGCAAGAUUAAAACUCAAAGGAAUUGACGGGGACCCGCACAAGCGGUGGAUGAUGUGGAUUAAUUCGAUGCAACGCGAAAAACCUUACCUACCCUUGACAUGGAAGGAAUCCCGAAGAGAUUUGGGAGUGCCCGAAAGGGAACCUUCACACAGGUGCUGCAUGGCUGUCGUCAGCUCGUGUCGUGAGAUGUUGGGUUAAGUCCCGCAACGAGCGCAACCCUUGUCAUUAGUUGCUACGCAAGAGCACUCUAAUGAGACUGCCGGUGACAAACCGGAGGAAGGUGGGGAUGACGUCAAGUCCUCAUGGCCCUUAUGGGUAGGGCUUCACACGUCAUACAAUGGUACAUACAGAGGGCCGCCAACCCGCGAGGGGGAGCUAAUCCCAGAAAGUGUAUCGUAGUCCGGAUUGUAGUCUGCAACUCGACUACAUGAAGUUGGAAUCGCUAGUAAUCGCGGAUCAGCAUGUCGCGGUGAAUACGUUCCCGGGUCUUGUACACACCGCCCGUCACACCAUGGGAGCGGGUUUUACCAGAAGUAGGUAGCUUAACCGCAAGGAGGGCGCU